RNAcentral lists this transfer RNA (74 nucleotides) under Camelus bactrianus (Bactrian camel). It matches the Rfam family "tRNA". From Rfam's summary of the family: Transfer RNA (tRNA) molecules are approximately 80 nucleotides in length. Their secondary structure includes four short double-helical elements and three loops (D, anti-codon, and T loops). Lineage: Eukaryota; Metazoa; Chordata; Mammalia; Artiodactyla; Camelidae. The record is from Rfam by way of RNAcentral. RNAcentral also lists the same sequence under 2 other names.
GGGGGUAUAGCUCAGUGGUAGAGAGUGUGUGCUUAGCAUGCACAAGGUCCUCUGUUCAAUCCCUAGUACCUCCA